UACGACUACAUAUCAGGCAUAUCAAUAAGCGGAGGAAAAGAAACUAACAAGGAUUCCCUUAGUAACGGCGAGUGAAGCGGGAAGAGCUCAAAUUUGAAAUCUUCAAGGUUUUACCUUGACGAAUUGUAGUUUAAAGAAGUGUUUUCUGUUGAAGUUUCGGUAAAAGUUCUUUGGAAUAGGACAUCAUAGAGGGUGAGAAUCCCGUAUUUGACCAUUAUUUCCAACUUUGUGAUACACUUUCAAAGAGUCGGAUUGUUUGGGAAUGCAGUCCAAAAUGGGUGGUAAAUUUCAUCUAAAGCUAAAUACUGGCGAGAGACCGAUAGCGAACAAGUACCGUGAGGGAAAGAUGAAAAGAACUUUGAAAAGAGAGUUAAACAGUACGUGAAAUUGUCAAAAGGGAAGCGUUUGACACCAGUGUUGUUUUCUCGAAAAUCAAUUAAAAAUGGCGGGAUUUUGUGUUGUAUUGACUUUAUCAGCUUUCUGCACUUUUUUCCUUGUCUUUUUUAAUGCACUUUUCGUUUAACAAGUCAACAUCAGUUUCUUUUGUUGUAAAAGGGUCAUUGGAAGGUGGCUUUCUUUUCGGAGAAAGUGUUUAUAGCCUUUGACUUCUGCAAUCGGAGAGAUUGAGGUCUGCAGCGUAGAUCCUUCUGGAUUAGAUACAUUUGUGCUAAGUUAUAGCCUUUUCAUAGACAACUUGUUGACUAUAUCUAGUCAUGUAACUUACUCGCUUAUGCUAUUUUACCUACGCUUAGGAUGUUGACGCGCGUGUGUGCGUG
RNAcentral lists this ribosomal RNA (776 nucleotides) under uncultured Neocallimastigales. RNAcentral describes it as "partial large subunit ribosomal RNA". It matches the Rfam family "Eukaryotic large subunit ribosomal RNA", at positions 24 to 639 of the family's 3401-position model. The record is from RNAcentral. Lineage: Eukaryota; Fungi; Neocallimastigomycota; Neocallimastigomycetes; Neocallimastigales.